UACGUAGGUGGCAAGCGUUAUCCGGAAUUAUUGGGCGUAAAGCGCGCGCAGGCGGUUUCUUAAGUCUGAUGUGAAAGCCCACGGCUCAACCGUGGAGGGUCAUUGGAAACUGGGGAACUUGAGUGCAGAAGAGAAAAGCGGAAUUCCACGUGUAGCGGUGAAAUGCGUAGAGAUGUGGAGGAACACCAGUGGCGAAGGCGGCUUUUUGGCCUGUAACUGACACUGAGGCGCGAAAGCGUGGGGAGCAAACAGG
Molecule: ribosomal RNA, 253 nt
Filed under: uncultured bacterium
Lineage: Bacteria
Description: partial 16S ribosomal RNA
Rfam family: Bacterial small subunit ribosomal RNA
Source: RNAcentral